UGGGGAAUUUUGCACAAUGGGGGACACCCUGAUGCAGCGACGCCGCGUGAUUUAGAAGGCCUUCGGGUUGUACAAAUCUUUUCUAUGGGAAGAAAAUGACAGUACCAUAGGAAUAAGGACCGGCUAAUUACGUGCCAGCAGCCGCGGUAAUACGUAAGGUCCGAGCGUUGUCCGGAAUCAUUGGGCGUAAAGGGUACGUAGGCGGGUAAGCAAGUUAGAAGUGAAAUCCUAUAGCUCAACUAUAGUAAGCUUUUAAAACUGCUCAUCUUGAGGUAUGGAAGGGAAAGUGGAAGUCCUAGUGUAGCGGUGAAAUGCGCAGAUAUUAGGAGGAAUACCGGUGGCGAAGGCGACUUUCUGGCCAUAACCUGACGCUGAGGUACGAAAGCGUGGGUAGCAAACAGG
This 402-nucleotide ribosomal RNA is filed under the name bacterium. RNAcentral describes it as "partial 16S ribosomal RNA". It matches the Rfam family "Bacterial small subunit ribosomal RNA", at positions 355 to 776 of the family's 1533-position model. The record is from RNAcentral.